Molecule: ribosomal RNA, 301 nt
Filed under: uncultured bacterium
Lineage: Bacteria
Description: partial 16S ribosomal RNA
Rfam family: Bacterial small subunit ribosomal RNA
Source: RNAcentral
CAGCCGCCACGGGAAUACGAAGGGUGCAAGCGUUACUCGGAAUUACUGGGCGUAAAGCGUGCGUAGGUGGUGGUUUAAGUCCGUUGUGAAAGCCCUGGGCUCAACCUGGGAAUUGCAGUGGAUACUGGGUCACUAGAGUGUGGUAGAGGAUAGUGGAAUUUCCGGUGUAGCAGUGAAAUGCGUAGAGAUCGGAAGGAACAUCUGUGGCGAAGGCGACUAUCUGGGCCAACACUGACACUGAGGCACGAAAGCGUGGGGAGCAAACAGGAUUAGAUACCCCGUAGUCCCUGUCUCUUAUACA